This 904-nucleotide ribosomal RNA is filed under the name Talaromyces funiculosus. RNAcentral's name for it is "LSU rRNA". It matches the Rfam family "Eukaryotic large subunit ribosomal RNA", at positions 38 to 960 of the family's 3401-position model. Lineage: Eukaryota; Fungi; Ascomycota; Eurotiomycetes; Eurotiales; Trichocomaceae. The record is from RNAcentral.
GCAUAUCAAUAAGCGGAGGAAAAGAAACCAACCGGGAUUGCCUCAGUAACGGCGAGUGAAGCGGCAAGAGCUCAAAUUUGAAAUCUGGCCCCUCUGGGGUCCGAGUUGUAAUUUGCAGAGGAUGCUUCGGGUGCGGUCCCCGUCUAAGUGCCCUGGAACGGGCCGUCAUAGAGGGUGAGAAUCCCGUCUGGGAUGGGCGGCCGCGCCCGUGUGAAGCUCCUUCGACGAGUCGAGUUGUUUGGGAAUGCAGCUCUAAGCGGGUGGUAAAUUUCAUCUAAAGCUAAAUACUGGCCGGAGACCGAUAGCGCACAAGUAGAGUGAUCGAAAGAUGAAAAGCACUUUGAAAAGAGAGUUAAAUAGCACGUGAAAUUGUUGAAAGGGAAGCGUUGUCCACCAGACUCGCCCGGGGGGGCUCAGCCGGCACGUGUGCCGGUGUACUCCUCUCCGGGCGGGCCAGCAUCGGUUUGGGCGGCUGGUGAAAGGCCCCGGGAAUGUACCACCCUCCGGGGUGUCUUAUAGCCCGGGGUGCCAUGCAGCCAGCCUGGACCGAGGCCCGCGCUUCGGCGAGGAUGCUGGCGUAAUGGUGGUCAACGGCCCGUCUUGAAACACGGACCAAGGAGUCUAACAUCUAUGCGAGUGUUCGGGUGUCAAACCCGUCCGCGCAGUGAAAGCGAACGGAGGUGGGAGCCUUUCGGGGCGCACCAUCGACCGAUCCUGAAGUCUUCGGAUGGAUUUGAGUAAGAGCAUAGCUGUUGGGACCCGAAAGAUGGUGAACUAUGCCUGAAUAGGGCGAAGCCAGAGGAAACUCUGGUGGAGGCUCGCAGCGGUUCUGACGUGCAAAUCGAUCGUCAAAUUUGGGUAUAGGGGCGAAAGACUAAUCGAACCAUCUGGUAGCUGGUUCCUG